UGUUAUUUCUUCUGCUUCAAAAUGUAUGCUUCGAAUUCUCAAUCUUAGAUAUGUUGUUCAUGUAUGUUGUUACCAAGUUGUGUCAUAUUUCUGUAUAAUUAUGUGGGAGUUGACAUUAAUGCAACUUUUUAUGUUAUUUUUCUUUUUUCCUUUAUUGUUCACACGACCUUUACAUUUUAUCUGUGUGAGUUUGCAGCUUUGUGGUUUUAAAAAGGUUUUGAAUUAUUAAAAAAAAGUAACAGUGGAUAUAAGGUACUGGAAGGCUGCUUCACGAGAAGAGUUGAGAGGAUAAUUGCUGAUUGAAUCAGUAAAGAUAGCUUCGAUAAUGUGAUGCUGGAGUAUUUAGUCAAGUGGCAAGGCCUUUCAUAUGCAGAAGCGACCUGGGAGAAGGACGUAGAUAUUGCUUUUGCUCAAGAUUCUAUGGAUGAGUACAAGGUGGAGUAUCACAUAGGUUUUGUUUUUUGUUCAAUUUUUUUUUUCUCAUUUUUCAUUUCCUUUUAGUGAGCUUUCCUUCAGCAUGGCAAAAUUUUUUCUGUUCAUUA
Mangifera indica (mango) is the source of this 542-nucleotide long non-coding RNA. RefSeq lists it as uncharacterized. The transcript is spliced from 3 exons. The record is from RefSeq and is a predicted model, not a curated record. NCBI's taxonomy places the organism in Eukaryota, Viridiplantae, Streptophyta, Magnoliopsida, Sapindales, Anacardiaceae.